Molecule: long non-coding RNA, 1027 nt
Organism: Xiphophorus hellerii (green swordtail)
Lineage: Eukaryota; Metazoa; Chordata; Actinopteri; Cyprinodontiformes; Poeciliidae
Exons: 2
Source: RefSeq, a predicted model, not a curated record
CUCUCUGGCUGCAAUGCGCGCUCCCGACGCAGGGGGAACAGAUUUCCACAGAGGAACAGAAUCACAAGAUCUCUACAGCAGAACACGAAGAAAAUCAACCACGGAUCUUAGGACGUUGCUGACCAAAUGAAAUCAUAAAGUGAAUGUCUGACGAUGAUGAACAUUCAACUGAAAACUAACUUCAUCGCGAUGUAAGACUUCAGAAGAACUGGGUGGAGAAACACAGAAGACUGAAAAUAUGAACUUUGAUGAGAGGAGUUCUGUUCUGUAGUUCAGGGAUUAGUUUGAAACAAAGAUAUGAAAACUAGUGUUGCUACUGGUUAGAGUUUAAUUAAAACUGUGAAACGAAAAUGUAACAAACAAAUCGCUUUUACCACAUCAGUAAAACAGAUUUAGACAUGAAACCUGUAACUGUUUAUUUGCUUAAGUUAAUAUGUUGCUUUUGUUGUUUAUUGCUGAGAGAUAUCAAGGUUGAGCGCGUGAACAAGGAGACUAUGGCAAGCCGUUUGAGGAUAAAUUCGGUUUCGUCUGACUUUCCGUAAUUACAUUGCAGCAUUGGCGUAGGUUUGGGUGUGGACGGUCGUGACAUGUCACGACCAAUAUUCAAGGGAUAUAAAAUAGUCCCGACCAAUUUUUGCCAUAUUAAUUAAAAAAAAAAAAAAACAUAUGUAUUUUUUAACCAAAACAAAAUAAAUAAACGAAAAUCUACAUUGAUUAGUUUAAUAUUUCAAUAUACUACGCAGUGGUAGCAUUCAUUUUAAAAUUCGCUGUUAUGAACUAUGACGACCCGCUAUUGGCUCACAGAACGUGGAUCUACGUUCUUUGAUUGGCUGCAACAGGCGGCGGCCAGCUGGUCACACGCGGAACGGAAGCUUGGUCCAUGGUGCUGAAAGUGAACGCGUCUCCUUCUGAGUUUGACAUUUAUUAUGAGUCUCCAUGUCGCCACCAAAAAAGAAAAGGACGACAGACAUUAGAAGUUAUUUCGCUACCUCGGCUGUAAGUACAGUGAGGGGACCCAUAAGUUAGA